UACGUAGGGGGCAAGCGUUGUCCGGAGUUACUGGGCGUAAAGCGCUCGUAGGUGGUGAUGUACGUAGAGGGUUCCAGCCAGCGGCUUAACCGCUGGAGUGCUCGCUAAACGGCAUGACUUGAGGGCUAGAGAGGGACAUGGAACUCCGGGUGGAGUGGUGAAAUGCGUAGAGAUCCGGAAGAACCCCAGAGGCGAAGGCGGCCACCUGGCCCACGACUGACGCUCAUACACGACAGCAUGGGGAGCG
Molecule: ribosomal RNA, 247 nt
Filed under: uncultured prokaryote
Description: partial 16S ribosomal RNA
Rfam family: Bacterial small subunit ribosomal RNA
Source: RNAcentral